This 465-nucleotide ribosomal RNA is filed under the name uncultured Klebsiella sp. Its description in RNAcentral is "bacterial SSU rRNA". It matches the Rfam family "Bacterial small subunit ribosomal RNA", at positions 338 to 795 of the family's 1533-position model. The record is from RNAcentral. Lineage: Bacteria; Pseudomonadati; Pseudomonadota; Gammaproteobacteria; Enterobacterales; Enterobacteriaceae.
CCUACGGGCGGCAGCAGUGGGGAAUAUUGCACAAUGGGCGCAAGCCUGAUGCAGCCAUGCCGCGUGUGUGAAGAAGGCCUUCGGGUUGUAAAGCACUUUCAGCGGGGAGGAAGGCGUUAAGGUUAAUAACCUUGGCGAUUGACGUUACCCGCAGAAGAAGCACCGGCUAACUCCGUGCCAGCAGCCGCGGUAAUACGGAGGGUGCAAGCGUUAAUCGGAAUUACUGGGCGUAAAGCGCACGCAGGCGGUCUGUCAAGUCGGAUGUGAAAUCCCCGGGCUCAACCUGGGAACUGCAUUCGAAACUGGCAGGCUAGAGUCUUGUAGAGGGGGGUAGAAUUCCAGGUGUAGCGGUGAAAUGCGUAGAGAUCUGGAGGAAUACCGGUGGCGAAGGCGGCCCCCUGGACAGAGACUGACGCUCAGGUGCGAAAGCGUGGGGAGCAAACAGGAUUAGAUACCCGGGUAGUC